Molecule: long non-coding RNA, 384 nt
Filed under: Rattus norvegicus (Norway rat)
Lineage: Eukaryota; Metazoa; Chordata; Mammalia; Rodentia; Muridae
Description: long non-coding RNA NONRATT026815
Source: RNAcentral
GGGGUUCUGCUGUUUGCUUUGGAAUGAACACCAUGCUGCAAUGUGGCAAAUGUAUCUCGGCAUGGGACCAACUUGCUUCCUUUGGAGUAGAAAGGAAUACCAUGUUUCUGUCGGUUUAUAAAACCAGAACAUACUCAGUCUUGCACUUCCCAGCAUGGUGCCACCCACCAGGCAUUUUCUGCAGAUGUUCAAGUCGUUGUACAUGGAAUAACUCCUUAUUGUUUGAGGACAACCCCCCUACAAAAACAAAACAAAACAAAACAAAAAAGCAAAAAAAUGACAUCAUUUUAAGUGGCUGCUUCUAAUUAUAUUGUUAGUUUCUUGGUUAAAACAAGCAUAAACCAUGAGAGGGAAUGAAUCCAUCAGACCACCACAUAUGGGAAU